UACGUAGGUGGCAAGCGUUAUACGGAUUUACUGGGUGUAAAGGGCAUGUAGGCGGGGAAGCAAGUCAGAUGUGAAAACCACGGGCUCAACCUGUGGCCUGCAUUUGAAACUGUUUUUCUUGAGUGCUGGAGAGGCAAUCGGAAUUCCGUGUGUAGCGGUGAAAUGCGUAGAUAUACGGAGGAACACCAGUGGCGAAGGCGGAUUGCUGGACAGUAACUGACGCUGAGGCGCGAAAGCGUGGGGAGCAAACAGG
Molecule: ribosomal RNA, 253 nt
Filed under: uncultured bacterium
Lineage: Bacteria
Description: partial 16S ribosomal RNA
Rfam family: Bacterial small subunit ribosomal RNA
Source: RNAcentral